AUUGAACGCUGGCGGCAGGCCUAACACAUGCAAGUCGAGCGGAUGAAGGGAGCUUGCUCCUGGAUUCAGCGGCGGACGGGUGAGUAAUGCCUAGGAAUCUGCCUGGUAGUGGGGGAUAACGUCCGGAAACGGGCGCUAAUACCGCAUACGUCCUGAGGGAGAAAGUGGGGGAUCUUCGGACCUCACGCUAUCAGAUGAGCCUAGGUCGGAUUAGCUAGUUGGUGGGGUAAAGGCCUACCAAGGCGACGAUCCGUAGCUGGUCUGAGAGGAUGAUCAGUCACACUGGAACUGAGACACGGUCCAGGCUCCUACGGGAGGCAGCAGUGGGGAAUAUUGGACAGUGGGCGAAAGCCUGAUCCAGCCAUGCCGCGUGUGUGAAGGAGGUCUUCGGAUUGUAAAGCACUUUAAGUUGGGAGGAAGGGCAGUAAGUUAAUACCUUGCUGUUUUGACGUUACCAACAGAAUAAGCACCGGCUAACUUCGUG
Molecule: ribosomal RNA, 484 nt
Filed under: uncultured bacterium
Lineage: Bacteria
Description: partial 16S ribosomal RNA
Rfam family: Bacterial small subunit ribosomal RNA
Source: RNAcentral